GCCCGUGUAGCUUAGCUGGUAGAGCAAUCCCUUCGUAAGGGAAAGGUCGUCGGUUCGAAUCCGACCAUGGGCU
This 73-nucleotide transfer RNA is filed under the name bacterium. RNAcentral describes it as "tRNA-Thr". It matches the Rfam family "tRNA". Rfam says of the family: Transfer RNA (tRNA) molecules are approximately 80 nucleotides in length. Their secondary structure includes four short double-helical elements and three loops (D, anti-codon, and T loops). The record is from RNAcentral. RNAcentral also lists the same sequence under 1 other name.